Molecule: ribosomal RNA, 406 nt
Filed under: uncultured bacterium
Lineage: Bacteria
Description: partial 16S ribosomal RNA
Rfam family: Bacterial small subunit ribosomal RNA
Source: RNAcentral
AUUGAACGCUGGCGGCAGGCCUAACACAUGCAAGUCGAGCGAGCGGCGGACGGGAGAGUAAUGUAUGGGGAUCUGCCCGAUAGAGGGGGAUAACUACGGGAAACGGUGGCUAAUACCGCAUACUAGCGGAUGACCCCAUAUGGGUUUCGCUAGUAGGUGGGGUAAAGGCUCAACUAGGCGACGAUCUAUAGCUGGUCUGAGAGGAUGAUCAGCCACACUGGUACGGAGACACGGCCCAGACUCCUACGGGAGGCAGCAGUGGGGAAUAUUGCACAAUGGGCGAAAGCCUGAUGCAGCCAUGCCGCGUGUAUGAAGAAGGCCUUAGGGUUGUAAAGUACUUUCAGCGGGGAGGCGUUACCCGCAGAAGAAGCACCGGCUAACUCCGUGCCAGCCGCCGCGGUAAUUC